Molecule: long non-coding RNA, 3010 nt
Filed under: Equus caballus (horse)
Lineage: Eukaryota; Metazoa; Chordata; Mammalia; Perissodactyla; Equidae
Description: lncRNA (ENSECAG00000056095.1)
Source: RNAcentral
CGCCGAACUCCGCUCUGGGGCCCCGAGGGCCGCGGCCGCGGCGGGGGCUCGGACCCGGAAGCAAACGGACCGGAAGUGACGCGCGCCGCGGCCCCAGGACGGCGGCUGGCCGGGUUGUCAUGGGAACCGGUCUGAGCCCGGCGGCUGAGGCUCCGAGCUGUGAGCGCAGCCCGCGGACCGCGGCUUCCGCCGCCCGGACUUGCCCCCCGUCCAGGUGACCGCGAGCUGCGCUCCCGACCGCGCCUGAGCUGACGGCUGGACCCCUCGCCCCAUUUUACGGACGGAAAUACCGAGAGCAAGUGAGAUGCGCGGGAUCACGCGAGACUGAAUCCCGCCUUGGGAGCAUUGUUGACGUUACAGGCUGUCGUUAAGACCGGGGCCCCAACUUUGCCUUUGCCACUUCCUAGCUGCGUGACACGGGGCAAAUUACUUAACCUCUCUGAGCCUCAGCUUUUUCACCUGUAAAAUGGAAUAAUUGUACCGCCUCGUGGGAUUCAUGUGAGAAUUAAUAUAUAGAAACCAGUUAUUACAGUAGUUGGCGUAUAGUAAAGAUCUAAAUACGUUUUGUUUUUUUAAGUAGUUAAGUCAAAGAAAAUGACCGGUCUCUGCCCUCAACUUCCCUUGGGGAAAACGAUGCCAAAAUAUUGCCUCCUAGCCUUGUGACUUUUCACCAGGCACCUGCAGUACCUGCGUGGUCUACACUGACGUCAAUCCUGGUAGCUUGUCAUUUCACUUCGUGGAUUUGUCUAUACUCCCACCCACCACGUUGACUCUGGGCUCCCCGAGGACUCGGCUUUUGUGGGUCACCACUCACUGAAUCCCUAGUGUUUGCAAAGUGCCUGGCACGUACUCAAGACUGUGUUGAACACGUUUGCGAUUGAACCGUUCAUUCUCUCUCUCUAACUUACUCCAGCCACUUAUUCAAGACUCAGAGCCCACCCCAUGCCAAGUUCUCUUCCUCCACGUGCUCUUGGCUCCCUGCACUUAGCGUGCUCUUCCACCCUUCUGCCUCUGAGCCUCUAUAUGCUCUUCCCUCAGUGUGAAUGUUCUUCCCCUCACCUCCUUCCUUGCUUUCUUGACUUCCAGCCCCAGCUCAGUCCUCACAUCCUUUCUGAAGCGUUCUCUGAUUCCUCCAGGCAAAGAUCCACCUUCCUCUGGUUCCCCAACACUGUCUUUCAUAAUUUUAUCUGAGCUCUUACUGCAGUGGAUUAUAUGUAUUUUUAAACCUGACACCCCCACAAGACCUGGCGCUCCUUACUCCUCUGUGUUUCCCCUGAGCUCUGCACAUGUCUGAUCAGGAGGCGCCCAACAGAUGUUCCUUGGCUGCAGGACUCUUUGUCUCAGCCUUGGUGUCCCCAGCUGAAGCCGGGGGGUCUUGUCUCAGGAGGGAAUGACAUCGUACCUGGGGAAGCAUUUGGAGAAGGAGCAGCCUGCUGUUCCUGCAGCAGCAGUGACUAUAUUUAUCUGGUGCUGUCCUAGCACCGCACAAGGUCUUUGUGCACUUCAGCCUUUAUCAGCUCAGGUUUAAGCUCCUCUCUUAAUCACCUGCAAGGGAAUGGUGUUUACAGGGAUUCCAGCUGAGAAAAACUGGCCCACCUGAAUUGUCUGCCUUUGCAGCAACUCACAACUGACCUUUGGAAACUGUUGUGGGACUGCAUGAGACUGCUAAUAAGUCCCUUGCAGCUCCGUGGUUCUGUGACAGCCAAAAGGGAAACAGAGUUUGCAGAAGGCUUUACCAGUAGGAAACCCUGGUCAUCGAGACUCGGUGACAUUUCAUAUCAGAAAAGACCCAAAGUCUCCGAAGAGAGUCGUGUGUCUCAUCUUUUAGACGAGGUUGAAGGCCUGAGAUUCCUCUGCUUGGUAACGUGGAACCGCAGGAGCAUCUCUCCAGAUUUUAUUACAUAAUGAUUCGCAGGUUAUGUAACAGUCAUGACAAUGAUCAGGCACCUCUACUUGCUAAGAGCCAACAACACGAACAAUCUACCUACUUCUUUCUAUUUUUUAGGCGUUUUUCUCAUCACAAAAGUAGCACAUGAAUUCCAACGAUGCAGACGUGUGUAGAACGAAAAAUGAAAAAGAAAAGCAACCCUAGGACCCAGCAGUUUGAUUUCUUGGAAUCUACUAGAGAAACCAGCGUACAUGCACCAAGAAACCUGUUGCGUCGUUGUUUGUAAUGCAAAAUCAAAACCAGAACCAUGCUAAAUGUCCGUCAGUAGGGGAGUGGUGUGUCCGUGCUGGUGACUAGGGUGUGUCACUGAAAAGGAUGAUGGAAGCCUGUGUAGCUCUGCAGGACGUGCCCUGAAAUGGAAACCGUAUUGUCUAAGGGCUAAGUACAGUAAGCCACAAUGAGCAGGGGCGGUAAAUGCUUGAGGAACAGGAAAGAAUAAGAGAGGCAGCGUUCACCUUGCCGGCCAGUGUAUAAGCUCGUGGAAGGUUCAUUUCAAGGGCCCAAACUGGAGGCACUCAUGGGAUUUGAAGCUCCCUGGCCACACACACAGGGUCUGGCAGCAGCUGCAAGGCCGAUGAAAGGAGCUGGACCUCAUCACCAGGAGACGCGUGAGCACGACGUUACCCAAUGUUCCCUCACGGAGGACGACGCUGCCCAUUCCUUCUGCUUCCACUGGGAAGUCUCAGUGUGGUGACAGCUUGUCUUCAACGCCUCUCCAAUAAUGGCUCAUCUGCCUUUCCAGCGCCAACAGUACCCAGCAUGAAUUAAUAGUAUUGUUUUCGGGGUCGGCCCUGUGGCGCAGCAGUUAAGUUCCCGUGUUCCACUUCGCCGGCCUAGUGCUCACGGGUUCAGAUCCCAGUAUGGACCUGUGCACCGCUUGUCAACCCCAGGCUGUGGUAGGCGUCCCACAUAUAAAGUAGAGGAAGAUGGGCACAGAUGUUAGCUCAGGGCCAGGCUUCCUCAGCAAAAAGAGGAGGAUUAGCAGCAGGUGUUAGCUCAGGGCUGAUCUUCCUCAAAAAAAUAAAUAGUAUUGCUUUGUUUCCAGUGUAUUUUUGCAGUGCC